RNAcentral lists this ribosomal RNA (429 nucleotides) under Bacteroidota bacterium. Its description in RNAcentral is "Bacteroidetes bacterium partial 16S ribosomal RNA". It matches the Rfam family "Bacterial small subunit ribosomal RNA", at positions 355 to 776 of the family's 1533-position model. Lineage: Bacteria; Pseudomonadati; Bacteroidota. The record is from RNAcentral.
UAGGGAAUCUUCGGCAAUGGGGGGAACCCUGACCGAGCAACGCCGCGUGAGUGAAGAAGGUUUUCGGAUCGUAAAGCUCUGUUGUUAAGGAAGAACGAGUGUGAGAAUGGAAAGUUCAUACUGUGACGGUACUUAACCAGAAAGGGACGGCUAACUACGUGCCAGCAGCCGCGGUAAUACGUAGGUCCCGAGCGUUGUCCGGAUUUAUUGGGCGUAAAGCGAGCGCAGGCGGUUAGAUAAGUCUGAAGUUAAAGGCAGUGGCUCAACCAUUGUAGGCUUUGGAAACUGUUUAACUUGAGUGCAGAAGGGGAGAGUGGAAUUCCAUGUGUAGCGGUGAAAUGCGUAGAUAUAUGGAGGAACACCGGUGGCGAAAGCGGCUCUCUGGUCUGUAACUGACUCUGAGGCUCGAAAGCGUGGGGAGCGAACAGG